Molecule: ribosomal RNA, 253 nt
Filed under: uncultured bacterium
Lineage: Bacteria
Description: partial 16S ribosomal RNA
Rfam family: Bacterial small subunit ribosomal RNA
Source: RNAcentral
UACGAAGGGGGAUAGCGUUGUUCGGAAUCACUGGGCGUAAAGCGCACGCAGGCGGAUCGAUAAGUCGGGGGUGAAAGCCCGGGGCUCAACCUCGGAAUUGCCUUCGAUACUGUCGGUCUCGAGUCCGGGAGAGGUGAGUGGAAUUCCUAGUGUAGAGGUGAAAUUCGUAGAUAUUAGGAAGAACACCAGUGGCGAAGGCGGCUCACUGGCCCGGUACUGACGCUCAGGUGCGAAAGAUUGGGGAGCAAACAGG